Molecule: ribosomal RNA, 496 nt
Filed under: uncultured bacterium
Lineage: Bacteria
Description: partial 16S ribosomal RNA
Rfam family: Bacterial small subunit ribosomal RNA
Source: RNAcentral
GAUGAACGCUGGCGGCGUGCCUAAUGCAUGCAAGUCGAGCGAACAGACGAGGAGCUUGCUCCUUUGACGUUAGCGGCGGACGGGUGAGUAACACGUAGGUAACCUACCUAUAAGACUGGGAUAACUUCGGGAAACCGGAGCUAAUACCGGAUAAUAUUUCGAACCGCAUGGUUCGAUAGUGAAAGAUGGCUUUGCUAUCACUUAUAGAUGGACCUGCGCCGUAUUAGCUAGUUGGUAAGGUAACGGCUUACCAAGGCAACGAUACGUAGCCGACCUGAGAGGGUGAUCGGCCACACUGGAACUGAGACACGGUCCAGACUCCUACGGGAGGCAGCAGUAGGGAAUCUUCCGCAAUGGGCGAAAGCCUGACGGAGCAACGCCGCGUGAGUGAUGAAGGUCUUCGGAUCGUAAAACUCUGUUAUUAGGGAAGAACAAACGUGUAAGUAACUGUGCACGUCUUGACGGUACCUAAUCAGAAAGCCACGGCUAACUACGG